CCAGCUGCAGAGAACACCCAGGGAACGGGCACACGUUAGCAGGCCCAAGUGUGGGGCCAGCAGUUCAUUCUGGACCAAGCGCUAAGUCAGUGAAGUAUGCUCGCCCAUUUCACUCUCAUUUAAGUUUCACAUAAGGUGAUCCCAACCAGUUUACAAAUCCUGAUGGAAAUUUUGUCUGACUUCCAGGAGCCAUAAUUUGUUUUUAACGGAUCAAGAAAUAUUAAGAGAAAAACGUUUCGACAUCAAUUCUCAGUCCUCUCAUUCGUAGCCAAUUUUUGGUAAAAGAAUUCUAUCAAAUGAGAAAGUUAAAAGCAAAAAAACACUUGGUUGAAGUUAUAUUUGGCAGAUUUACGUUAGUCCAAUUUGCCUAUUUCAGUGCUGUCAACUCUACAUUCAAUAAAUACCACAGGUGGAUUUUUUAAAAAAUUUACUUUAAUCUCUACAUUUGUCCCCUAAGAAAGUCUUUAUGCAAAAUUUUAGUAGUAAACUGAAUUGCGAAUUUCUUACACAAACCUUAAUACACAUUGAUAUUGUAUGUUAUUUCAAACACAUGUAAACAAGUGACUUCUAUAACAGGUAGGUGUUCAAUAAACAAUAGCAAAAAUUUUGUAAUGAUGUAUAUUUAAUUCCCCAAAUAUUUACCAUUGAGAAGAGAUAGUUCAAAUUUUUAUUUCUGAAAUAAGAGUAAGCAGCUAGCAAUGAUCUAAUAUCUCACUCUUUUACUCAAAAACUUUGCUGUACAUCCAGGAUGUUUUCCUUUAUUCACAUGAGGUAAACAUAGGGACCAAUAGCUGUCAAAAGAAACUUCAACAGAAGGCGGCACUGUAACAAGCAGAUAAAACAAGUUAUCUAUGAAUAGACAAUAAACGUUUUAAAACUAAAAAUCAGACCCCAAAACUUUCUUAUCCAUAGGCAAAAAUCAAGCCUUCAGAGACUCAGCAAUACAAAGAAUUGAAGUGGCCAAUAAAAAGUGAAAAAAUAUCUAGGUCUUUUCUCAAGUAUCAUGAGCUGUGGGAACAUCAGCAAGUUCUAAACUCUGUCCUGUGUCUUCUGUUCCCUUCUAUAAUUAUCCAGUAAAGUGAUUACACUUAAGUCCAUGAGAAGACAAAGACACACUUUCUUGGGAACUGAAAGGUGUAAUGAGGAGAUGGUUCUAUGUUCUUAAUAUGUACAGAGCAUCAAAUACUUGAACAGCAAAGAACUUUGUGGGGUCCUAUUGAACUUGAGUGUUUUAAAAGUAGGCAUGUCACUGCUGGGAUUCACCACUGCCCUGAAGUUCCAGAUGUCUGUGUGGUUUGGGUAGACUGUCCAGCACAUGUGCUCUGGCAUUCAUGCAUUUAGAACUGGCCCAGGAAUAGAACUCAUAAAAACCACCCACUAGCUCUAAAAUCCAUUAUCCAGCACUCUCCAUUCCGAGUCCCCAAAUGCUUCAUCUCCCUGCCUUUGCUGUCUCUCUUACAUUUCCUCAAUAGGGCAGCAUGCAUCCCAGUCCCAGGAUGUUUAUCAACACUCUUCCACACCCUUCAGCUGACCUCUGCAUCUGGAUUAGAAGCCAUCUGUGUGGCUCUCCUCAAAGGCGCUGCUCCCCUACUCUGUCCCCACCUGGGCUCACAAUGGCCAAAGCCACAGCUGUGUUUUAAGUAUUUAAGGCUUGGCCUGGCAUCAGCAAAUUGCUGUGUGUGGUGGCUCUGCUGAAGUAGCUACAGACAUCAUAUCACGCUCUGUACCUGAUGUGAGGAUUCCCUGGCCCCAGAAUUAGGGAGUGACUCUUGAGAGCCAGUAUUCACAGAAACCAGGGCAGGAAAGCCCAGACCAGGACUAUAUUGGUUCUCAACUUCUCCAUGGGUCAGCUUAUUCAUUCGGGCAUUAAAAAGAACCAUCAUGUUUGCUAACCCAAGUGGGCUUAAAGCUGUGGAAGCGCUAACUUUAGUAUGAAGUGACAGUUUAAGAAAUUAUUAACGUAGCAUUUCACAAGAAAUGAAUGGGCAUUCUAGUGAUUUGGCUGCUAGUAUAUACUGUAGUGAAGAACUUUACUAGCGUUUUGACUUCACCAUUUUUAAGUGGUUCAGUGAGGCAUCAAGAAUAUAAUAUGCAGGGACUGGAGGGGUGGGGAAAAGGAGCGCAAAAACAUUUAUUUCGAAUUUUAAAGUGUCUGACUUUAUUUCUGUGCAAAUGAUAAUCUUUUAAAUACUUGAGUUAAAUGGAUUUCAUAUCUGGACUGUGAUGUGAUGAAAUGCACAAUUUUACCAUUUUCUUCUUCCUCAUUAAGCUAUUUUUAGAAAAGUUGAUUUUCACAGAGAUAAAAAGGCCGAAAGAAUGAAAGGUACCAGAAAGGCAAGGUUGCCUAUAGCUUUUGGAAAUUACUUAGAAGUUAUUUGUCAUAAGAAAUUCAUUACUUCUUUAGUUUCUCCGUUUUUUUUUCUGCUGUCUUUUCUCUGAAAACAUGAAACUGAACUUUUUGGAAAUACUAUGUAUUUCCAACUAGUAUGUAUUUCCAUAGUAUUUUGGAAAUACUAUGUAUUUCCAAAUAGUAUGUAUUUCCAUAGUAUUUUGGAAAUACUAUGUAUUUCCAAAUAGUAUGACAAGUUAAGCGUUCUAGAUAGCCCUAGUUGCAAAUGUACUUUGAGUGUCAUGUGUUUAAAUCUUUGGUCUUACACAAGUAAUCCAUCAAAUUUCUCCCAGCUUCUUUUUUCCCCGCUCUCCUCCAUACCCCUAAUUCAAAAAAUCUAAGCGAUUCCCCACUCUUGCCCAUCCUUCAAUUCUAAAAGUUUUGAUACUGAAGGAAAGGGGACCGUCUAGACCUGGCACAGUCCACUUACACAUGGGAAGACUGGUUUUAAGUAACACUCAAGGCCACAGAGCAAGUUACCUGCAGAGCCAGGUUAGAACCUGUGUCUGUCCCUGCUCUUUACACUACUUCAGGCAUGUAACACAUAAAAGGACCCUGACCUUCAAUGUGACUUAAAAAAAAAAAUCUGUGGCUAUAUUUUCCUUCUGAGGACUUUAUUCACUUUUAUACCUUACUGCAGCUGUAACAUCCAGGGCCUUUAGGAUCUGAAUCAUCAGUUAAGGUUUUAAAUACAUAUUUAAGAAUAUAUUUAAGAAUAUCUGACUUCAAACUUGAUUUCAUGCUAACUCAAUAGAUUCCCCUCAUACAUUAUAGAAAAUAACUCCUCUACCCCAGUGGUUUGCAGAAAGCUUUCAACAAGAAUAAUUUUACAGAUGGUUGGAUGGGGCAAAGAUUUAGAUUUGACAGAGAUAAGGAGAGGUGUAUGACCUAAUUUAUUUUCUAAUUCAGUCAUCUCUCCUACCACUAGAUUAAAGCAAGUUCAGAAAAAGUUAACCACACUAAAAACACUGUCCCAAGUGGCAGAAUGGUACAUGACAAAAAGGGCUAGAGUCACAGUUAGAUCGAACUGGCUUGGAACCCCAGCUCAGCCGGCUACUAGCUUGUGGGGUCAUUGUGAGAAUUAAAUGGGCACAGUGCCUGGUUCAGAGUAUGAGCUCAAUAAAUUAUCUUUCAUAGCAGAAUAAAAUCAAAUCAAUUCUGGUUACUUUACAAACCAGAACUUUUAAAACAAGAACAAUGUUUUACUUAUUGCAGGGGAUGUUUCUCUUCACCUAUGUCCAUUGCAAGUGGCUGGCAGGGGAACAGCAGUGGCAGGUGGGCAAAUGGGGAACUGGAGAUGGGGCUGUCAUGAGACCAGCUAAGAUGGCUGGUUUUAGCACUGCUCCUCCGCCUUCUCCUCAUCACGAAGCCAUAGGGCACUUAUCACGUGCCUAGCACUGGAGACACACACCAACCCUAGGAGGCAGGGAUGGUUAUCCCCAUUUAAAAAAUUCACCAUCAGUUAGUGAGGUCAAGUAAUGUGUCCAAGGGCAGAACCUGGAUGUGAAGUGCUGGCUGGCUCAGAAAGCCUGGUGCCACAUCAUUCUCUAUAGAGUGCUCAGUAAACAAAAAACGUUUGUUAAAAUGUUGGCUAUUAUUACUACAUACCACUUUUUCUCUGGGAAACUGCAACCCAAGUUUAAAAUAAAUGAUGUGAAAGUAAACUUCUGGAAAACAACUUUUAUGUAAAUUGGAAAUUCCUGAUAUGUCUCUCUGGAGCAAUAUCUGGAUUGCAAGUAAUUUAUCCCCUGCUCAUAAUAAAGAUGGGGUAUUCGUAAUUGUCUAGAAAAACUCUUGAGAUCACAAAGCUGAAAAACAUUUGUGAUCUAUGAAUAAAUAUGCUGUUGGUUUAUAUGCUUUCUUUAAUAUUUGAUUGUAUGACAGAAGCCAUUGUAUGAAGAGUUGCAAGACUGCACCCUCUGAACCAUAAGCUCCUCUGGUCCUGAUAUUUAUAAGCACUUUAAAAGUAAGGAGGGUAACUUUCGGCAUCCUCACAGCACCUGGCCAAACACUAAACAUGGUGGACUCAUCACUGUCAAUGACAACAAUGAUAUAAAUUUCUUACUGCAAUUCUGUACCCCAUUGGGUUCAUCAGGCAUAUUCAGUAGGACAUUCCUAUACUAGGAGGGUCCCAUAUUGGACUGGGAAAUCUUAAGAAUUUUCAAAUGAAGGUAGGUAAGUGAAUUAGGGGUAAGCUGCUAGGUGUUUCCACAAUAUAUUCCCAUCUGGCUAAGAUUAGCUCAGUAUCAUAUGCAUGAGACUUCAAUGUAUCAAUUCUGGGAAUGUAUAAAAUAGAAAAUAAAACUCCUACAAGGGCUUCCCACUCAGGUAGUACCGAUUCAGUUCCAUCUAUAACUUUAUUAUAGUAAUGCUUCAAUUGUCUUUUAAAAUUCUAUUACUCAGAGCUCAAUUGAUAUCUUCAUAUCACAGAAGCUAGGUCCACUGCAUGAAGGUCAAUAUCUAACAACUUGAUUUGUUUAGCACUAACUUAUGAUUGCCCCUUAGGAAAAGGUAUAUAAAUCCCAAUCUUAAGAAUGAUCAUUUAUUUACACAGUAAGGAUUAAUAAAAGACAAAUGAGAAUGUAUUGCACUGGGCUUAUGGGAGGUUGUGAGUGCAAAAAUAAUUCAAAUACAUUCCCCUAAGGUUGGGGGAGAAGGCAGGGAUAAAAAUCUGGAUUUUCUACAAAGUACCAUAAACAAAAAAAUGCUAGAAUUAAAAUUGAUUACUGCUUGGGAUUAUGUAUAAGUUUAAAAUGUAUUGCAAAAGGACAUAGGUUUCUUUACAAAGCCCUAUUUUUUGACCUUUAAUGCAUUCUGAACCUUUUGUAAAUUGUGCUGACUUUCCAAACAAAGCCAGAACUGAACACAAUUAUGGAGGAGGGCUCAAGGGAGAAGUGACCUGAGUGAAAUCAGCACAUGACUUGAGUCUCUUUUAGAGAGACUUUUCCUUUGUACUUAGAAUAAGAGCCAUAUUUGGCUCUGCCACAGAAAAACAGUAGCUUUGUAUGUCUUAAUGCAUAAAGUUGAUCUCUAUUUGAAGUCAUUCCACGUACCGAUAGAGAGAGAGAGAAGGAGCAACUGAUGACCAAUUCCUAAUCCUCCUGGGAACUUCUCUGGAAUAUCAAAGGAUGGCUGAGUCUCUCAUGUAACAUGAAGAAUAGGAAUGAGAGGUAGGGGAGAUGGUGCUCUUCAAGGGUCAGUAGCAAUGUGAACUGUUUCUCAUAAGUUGACUCCUGCCGCUGGCUUCCAGAUGUUGAGAUGUCUCAUCUAGGAGGUCUGUGGAGAUCCAACUCUCUGUGGGGUAAAUGGUCACUUUGGCUCUGAGAGGGCUGCAGGAUGUGGUCCAAAGAAUUUAUAGCCCCACCAGAAGAGCAGGAUUUGUAGCCUGACAUAAAUUGCAUAUGAUAAGGGACAGGCUUUGCCAGUGCCUGCAGUUGUGAUGUGCCUGAGGAAUCUAACACAGAAUGCUGGCGCUUCAGUCCCAGCCUCUUUUUGGGGGAGGAAUCCGAAGUCAGCUUCUAAAAGAGUUGACUCUGCAUCACAGUUAAAUGCCCAAAAUGAUUUUCAUUUCUACUGAUGCGAAGGCCAGUGAAAACAGCAGGAAGAUAUUAGUUGAUUCUUAUAAAAACUAUGCUAAUUUAGUGGACAUUAAAAUGAAUUAAUACCGACUGUUCCUAAUAGAAAAUGUUUGGUUUCAAUUCUUAACAUAGACAAAGUACAUUUUUGAAGAAAAAAUCUGUUUUUCAACCUUUUUUUUUUCAAUGCUUGAAGCAAAAUCAGUGAUCUCAUUUCUAAUUGAAACACCAAGGAAAAGCUCCCUGUGAGACAGAUGUUGAGAAACUUUAAGGUCUUAAGUAUAAAAUUUCUCUGAGAUUUUGAAGAAUUAGGGAAGAAAGGACAGACAGAUAUUUCACUUUCUGUCUUCCAAUGAAAUGACGAAUUUGGCAUAUUUUAAGGUUUCAUAUGGUUAAUGUUUCCCCAACUUUUCAUUUUCAUUCAUCACACAAUGGCUGGUGCCAUCCCUUGUGUCAGUCCCAUCAUAGCUUAUGCUUGCUGGGUUGAAUACAUCCAAAACAGUGGUAUGCAGUCAGUAUUUAUAAGAGUCGAUUACUACUAAGGGCAGAGUGUCAUCUCUUUCCAAACAAAUAACCAUUAUCUACUCCCCAAAUGGCUUUACAAAAAGUAGCAAUCCUCCCACUUCGCUGAGCCCUCCAUUUUCAGUAUCUUCCUCUUUACUCACAGGGAAGCCACUCAAUAAAUAUCUGUUGAAGUCAAAUCCCUAGAUUUCUAUACAAUGUAAAACUCCCUGUUCCAUCAAGCUCUAUGGCAUUCAGCAACACACAAUUGCAUUUUCCUAAGAGAGUAUUCUUAGAAAUAAAGCCACUAUCAUGCAGGUUAUUUACAAGUAAAAACAUGGAGUCAGCCCAGUAGAGAAACGUUCAAAUAGUGUGGCUCCUGCUCUGCCACGUUCUGUUUAUGACUUUGGAUAUUUUAUUUAUCCUUUCUGGGGUAGUUUUUCAACUUUAAGGUCCUAAUAAACUUUUAGAUUUUAUGACCUGUCCUCUUUAGCCCUGUAAGAUUUAAAUAUUAUAAAGAACCUGAUUUCAAAGACACUGGUAAACUUGGACAACUAAACAAGUCCAAGUAUGGUACUUAUUUGUGUGUGUGCAUAUAUUAACCUUAUGCAUAUGCUGUUUUCACACCUAUUUAAACUGUUUUUGAAAAACGUAUAUAUCAGUUUUUGGAAAACAGAAGAAGAUUUUAAAGGCAUUCGAGAGGCAGAUAAAAACAAUUCCAUGGUAAAUCUUACAAAAGGAAGAAUAUUCUGUGAAUAAUCUGUUCUGUGAAUAUUCUGUCAACUAACUAGCUAACGUCAAUUGCAUUUUUUUCUUAAGACAGAUAUACCUAUAGAUAAAUUCUACCCAGAUCAAGACAAAAAUAGCUUUUAGGUUUUGUGUGUCUCAAAAUAGUUUCUAUGGGGCUAGAGUUGGAUGUGGUUCUGCUAUAAUGCUUUCCCUUAAAGGAAACAUGGAAACUAUUUCAGUGGUAAGUGGCCAAGGUUCUGUUAAUAACCCUUUCCCCUCUUUCUGCCACUACUCUUUUGGAUGUUUUGGCUUUGACAUUUCAUUCAAAUAUGAAGAUAGGGUUGUGCUAUGCUCAGCAGUCCCAUGGCUUUUCUCUGCCUUCAUUCUUGGUAUCUCUGCAGCCUCUGACAGUGGGCUCACCCACUCCAUCUUUCUUGAAGCACUCUUCUCCCUUGACAUCACUAACAACUCUCCUUGUUCUCUUACUUCUGGGACUGUGCCUUACUUCCUUCACUGGUUCUCCAUCUCUCUAAAUAUGGGUACCUUACCAAGAUCUAAACUUUACACUCCUCUUUGCACAAGGAGUCAGUCAGCUGCAUCACUCUCACUCCCUGAUCUCUCUAACCCAGCCCUCAGUCCUGAAUUCCACUAUCCACUUCCAUGUAACAUAAAUGUGCUACUUCACUUCAAACUUAUGUCUAGACAGAGCUCCUCUCACCCUGAUCUAACUUGUCUCCCUAAAAUAAUAUCUGAUAUUUAAGAUACCCAUAAUUUGGCCUCAAACAGUCCUAACAAUCUUAUCUCCAACUAAUGCUGCUGUAUCUCUACCUUUUCAUUCUUCUAAGUUUGUUACUCUUAUUGUUCCCCAAACCCAUUUUGAGUUUUCCUUCCUGUUGGCCUCUUCUCAUGCACUGCUCUCUUUUGGAGGGCCACCCCCACCAACUUCUCUCCAUCCACUGUCUUCAUCCUUCUGUGCCCAUUUCAAUGCCCAUUUCUUCUUGAAGCUCUCCCUAGUAACAUCUAGCAGUUCUUACUCCCUCCUCCAUACUACUCCAGCCCACAAGGCUGGCAUGGCACUGUCAGUUUGGCAGUGGCAUUAUCAUCUCACACACCAGCCCAGAUCGCCCAGAGCCAGAUGUGUUCUAUCUUCUUGAUUAUUACAGUGUUUUGCACAUAGAUGUCACUUACUACCUGUCAAAAGAUUGCCAGGCAUCCUUUUGUGUGGAAUACAGGAAAGGGAAACGCAUCUUCUAAUAAAGGAGAUAUAUAUGUAUCAGAGCUCUUAUAAGUAACAGUACUUAUAUAUUUCUGGCUUGUUAGUAUCCAAAAUGUGAAACUCCCAAACCCGAAUGAGAACGUUUGUGAACCUGGUAAUGCAGCUCCUAAUCUGGCAUCUGUGAGGCGCUCCAUCAUGUUCCAGGCAGUGGCAGCCUGUACCAGUGCCCAUUUUCCAUUUGAUUUGGUUAUCAGUCAAAAACGCAAUAAGUUUAUGUUUACCUUGAAGAGAAGUGCCUUGGGGAUAUUUUCAGUACUUGGUGAGAACUUCAGUCAUCUCUAGGCAGUUCUUUUCUUUGAUAGGACCCAUUCUUCCCAUCCCUGCACUGUUCUACAGCCACUUUUUCAAAACAUAGACUGUAUCCUGAGAUAACAAAGUUGGUCCCUAUACAGAGAGAGGAAACAGUUCCCUUGUGUGUCCAUUGUGUAGUGUAGCAAGUCAUAAAAGACCGGACAGAGUGUUUCUAACAAGGCCGCAUUGAGUGCCUGUGUUGAGGCUAGAAGCUAAAGCACUGAUGUCUGCCUGGAACAUCACACUGAUGUCUGUAUUCAUUUUUCAAGUGUUGUGAAGUACUGCCAGGAAUCGCUUAUGGCUGAUACUAAGUUAAAGAAUGUGUAGGUGGAGUUCAUGCUUUAUUUCUGGAAGGAGAAUGAGGCCAAUGGUUGAAUGUGUGGCAGUAAGCAUUCUUACAAGCAAGUAAUGACUCACUAGUAGGUGGAGAAUUGAAUGAGUUUCUUCUUAAAGUCAAUUUCCUGAAACUCCAAGUGUGGCAGACAUCUGUUUUUAUUCUCUACCAUUCUUCUUUCAUCUGGUAAUAGCACUCCUCCCUCCCUUUACAGAUACGCUUCUACCCUAUUCCUUGUGGGUCUGCCAGUCACAAUCCUCUUGCCCUUGGUUGCAGGGUGAGCAUGUGAUCCAGGACUAGUCAACUGGUAUAUGGCUUCAGCAAAUUAUCCAAGGAUAAGUAUAUAAUCCAGGUCAGGCCAGGCCAAGCAGGGCCUUUCCCUGGGACUUUUCGUACUGAAGAUGGAAGGGAAAUGUGUCUAGAAGCAUAGAAUCACCUAGAGUUCCUGGCCAUCAUGGAAGGGUCUACAAAAAGGAAGCCAGUACAUAAAAAGCAGCCAAUUCCUUAUAUAAAAGAAAAAGGGAGAGACGCAGUUAAAAUUGGAAUACUAUUUUAGCCGCUGGAUCCAGAUAACCCUCAGACCAGUUUUAUCUCAGAAUUUUUUUUUUCUUUUUUUUUUUUUCUCUUCACUUAAAUUAGUUCAAAUGGUCUCUUAACACUUUUUAGAAAGUGGCCUUGGAAACCAACAAGUCCAAUAUCCUUAUUUUAUGAUAUGUAGAUGGAGACACAGGGAGAUCAAGAAAUUGCUGUUAUCAGCUGGUUGGUACCAAAGGCCCAACAAGAACAUCUUGCUGGUACGAACAAUAUAAAAAUUAAUCUAAUAGCACUAUCGGCAGUUGAUGAAUCAAUAAAUGGAUGAAUUCAUAUAUUGUUCAUAAACUUGUGAAAGAAACCACCAGAAGGGCUAAAAACAAAUAGUCUAAAGUGUUCACCUCUGGAAAGUAAGACUAGAAUGAGGUGGAGGGGGGACAUCUUUUAUUUUUGCAUUUUAUACUCUUCUAUACUAUUUGACUGUUUUUAACUAUGUGCAUAUAAAAAGUAUAGUGGUUAAAAAGACUCUUAAAACAUAAAACUCCAUAAGUUUGUAACUUAAAAGGAGGCCUUAGACAGUAACAAAAUAUCCUGGAGGCCUGAGAAGGGUAUCCAUUCAUCCAUUUCCUGUGUUUAAAGCCACCAGGGGAGGCCUUUUCCAAAUAAUUUCAUCAAGCAUGACUAUUGCUACUACUACUGCCAGCACCAACAGCGUCACCACAUCUAGUGAUGAGAGCUAACUGCUAUAGAGCACUUACUAUGUACCAAACACCAUUUUAAGCACUUUUCCCUCUAAACUCAUUUAAUUUUUACAAAAACCCGAGGAGAGAGGCCACUUUUAUUAUCUCCAUUUUACAGAUGAAGAAAUUGAGGCACAAAGAUAUAUAGUAAGUUGUCCAAGAUUAUGCAGCUGGAAAGAAGUGGAGACGGGAUUUAAACUGAGGAGCUCUGGCUCAUGACCAUGACGUUACCAUGUCUCUAACCAAAGCACCACGACUUAUCUUAUAUUUACCAUGUGCAAUGCGACUUCCUCAGACACAGAGGACCUUUCUGAUUUGGGCUCCACUCAAGACUAUGGCUCUAAGUCUGCCCCUCCUAUGCCCUAUUUCUUUGUUAUUGAGAUACAGAUAUUGCAAUGGCACCCAAAACAGCUAUAGAGACAGCUGGGCUAUGUCCUGAACACAUUCCAUGCAUAUAAUGUUAGGUAGUUAUGUCUCAUAUGCUAGACUUAAAAACAUUUCUUGGAAAAACUAUAAGAAUGUACAAAGCAACCUGGAGGAGCUGACUUUGAAACUAAGAAAUUAAAUUUGCUUCCAGAAUUUCUUACUUCAGUGUAAGUACCAUCAACUAGCGUUCAUUAUAUUGAGAAACUAAUGAAUGGUUGGUCUCUACUAAACAAACAUCAUGUGUUUACAGCUAAAUAUUGUAUAUCCAAAAUGUGAACAGGAAGAUGAAACCAAUUGAUAAAGGUUCUUACUUCACAUUUUCCAAGUAUAGUAUUAAUUCAAAUUUCUGAGAAAAAUCAAGAGACAUAUAUCACAUAAGGGCAAUAAAUACUACCAUAGAAUUUCAUGGUAUGGAAGUUCCUACAUACUUAUGGUUCUGUCCUUCACUCUCUUUUUUGAACACGUUUGUGGUAGAAAAAAAUAAAUACAAAAAGAAUCAUUUCCAAAAUAAUUGGAUUUGAAUUCUUAAAAAUAGUUUGGUAUUUACUUAUGUGUUUGUUCAUGAAUGACACAGGGUCUUGCUCUGUCACCCAGGCUGGAGUAAAGUGGUGUCAUCUUGGCUCACUGCAGCCUCAAACUCCUGGGCUCAACUGAUCCUUCUGCCUCAGCCUCAUGAGCAGCUGGAACUACUGGUGUGUGCCACCACACCCAGUGGAAUUUUUUUUUUUUUUUUAGUAGAGACAGGGUCUUACUAUGUUGCCCAGGCUCAAGCAGUCCUCCCACCUUGGCCUCCCCAAGUGCUGGGAUUACAGGUGUGAGCCACCACACAUGGCCUAAAUAGCUUUGUUUUUAAAUCACCGACAGCCCUUUUUUAGCAUCUGCUGCCACUGGGCUACUUAGUACUUUCCCGGGUAGAAGUGACUGUGCCACCAAUUUUCUGUGUGGCCUUCACUAAAUCAUUCUCGGUCUUUCUUUCAUAUCUUUGCAGUAUAGUAGGAUUAUUUUUAAAUAGUCCCCUUUAAAUAUUUUUAAAAUGUGCCCAUGCUAAUAAAUUCAUUCUUUAGUCUUUCAAGAUUGUACAUUUGAACAUCUGAAUAUCACUAAUAUUACUCAUCUGUUAUGCUGUUCCAUCUCUUGAGAUACUGUAUCACUAAAUGUGAUACAAUUUAGAAACAUUAUAUCAUAUGGUGAACAACACUAUAAAGACGACUUUUCAAAUUUCUAUUAACAUAGGCCUAUAACUGAAGAACUAAACAUUUUUGAAUAAAUAAUGUUGCCAAUAACAUUUUCUACAUAUUUUGGUCUUGCAAUCAAUGUGAGGAAUGCACAGUUGGAUCUGGAUACUCAGAGCAAUUUAUUUCCUCUUACAAGUCUACCAUUGAUAGUUUAAAUGCUAAUGGCCAAGAUAUACAAGCCAAAGGGUCCGUGGUGUGAAUGCAGGGCUUGCCUGAUCACCAGACUCCCUUCCCAACCUCUCCUCUGAAGAAGGAGAAAGUUCUUGAAAAAGCUCAAAAAUGCGUUUUGGCAAGCACAAGAGAUGCAGCCUAGCAGCAUGAAUUAAGAGACUUGUGACCGUGGAAAAGAACUGUAAAUUUUAAAUGGCUUUGGCCCUUCUUAGCUUUUGACCAGCUGACCUUGACAUUCCUUAGAGGCCAAAGGAUAAGAUGCAGUGAAGACAGUGCUGCCUAGCCAUUUCCCCUCAGGGGGCAGCACCAGUCCUUCCAGCAGUGGAUGAAGUCUAUCCAGUGUGUCUUGGGGAGAACUGUAAUAAAUGAGGCUCCCUCCCUGAGAAAUGACUAAAACCACGAAAAUAAAUUCUUAGAUGAAACAGUUCAAUUAUCUAAUGUAAUUACUCCUAAGGAAAAAAUGAGAGAAAUUUAUCAUAGCUACAUGAAGUUUCCAAUGUGGUUAUAUAUGACUGUGUAUAGUCAACAGUUAUUCAUCUGGCGUUCUGUCAAACAGAGUUUUCUAUAAUAUGGUAUCUGUGACUGUUUCCAAUACAAUAAAAAUGCUGCAAAAUCUUGAAAUGCUUUUCAAAAGAAGAAUACUUUAUAGUAUAGUGUGUACAGCUGUAGUAUUGAGCUUAUUUUGCUGUACUUUAUUAAUCUUUUCCAAAACAUGUAAAUAAUGAAGUUUGUUGCACACCACAUCUGGAUUUCAUGAUUAUACUGUAAGACUUAUAUAGUAGAUGGCCCUUCAUUUAGGGAAGUAGUAUAUACACCAGAAUAUGCCUUUUCUUUUUAAGAUUUAAACAACGGAAAAAGCCACUGAAGUAUGUAUAGUAUCUGUGCGCCGAGAUACACAGGAAAGCAUGGAACAUGUGGAUGGAAGGAACCGGGAUCAUCUCAUCCAGCUGAGUAAUAAGUACGUUUGGUGCAGUGCCACACAGGAGGCCACCAACAGAGCCCAGAGUAGUAACUAGGUUGCUUCACUCUUAGCCUCUCAAGUGAUGACACCAAGGCAUGAUCUUAUCUCUUGAUUGUGGCCACCCGUAAAGAAAAGCGUAUCUCUAAUCUCAGAAGCACAAGGAGUUCAUACCAGGAAACCAAGAUUAGUAAGUAUUUUUGUGGUGAAUACCUUUUGAAUAAGACAGGAUUAAUGUAACAGUUAAAAGUAUAGAAAUAUAAAAGUUACGAACUUACUGGUGAUUUUUUUCUUUGGUGUGGACAUUUGUUGAUCUUUAAAAUAUAUCACAGGAGUAAAUAAAAGAUCUAUAGAAUUUACAAAAAUGUCAAAAUGAACCAGAAGACAAUAAAGUCACUCAAGAUAUAUGUUAAUGACCUCAUAGAGGAAACUUUUUUUUUCCUUUCAGGAACAUCAUGCUAUCGUCUUUCAAAAUUACUAUGUAGGAUCAGUGGAACACUAGACACUGACAGAGUGGGCCCUGCAUCCUUCACUGCUUCCUCAUGGAGGGAUUUCCAGGACAGGGGCCCUCUUUGCCUGUCUCCGCCCUUGGUGGCGAAUAUGGGUGGGGGAUGGAUCUGGGCAUGCUCACAUCAGCCCCUCCCUUGCUCUUCUCUCUUUGGAUCUUGCUUGCAGUGAGAGGGCUUUUUCUUCCUGUUUUUUGGAGGGUGAGAUCUGCGCGGAGCUGUUCAAUGCUGCCUGGACUGGGUAUUAGUAUGCUUAGCUCAAGGUGAAGUAUAAGCCAACUCAUGAGGCCCAGCAGUGCAUCCCCUUUCUUCUCUGAGUUCUCCCCAGUACAAAUCUGGUGCUUGGAUCUCUUUCUGACUCCUCAGUUUAUCUGUCAAAUGGUUCCAAACUUGAGUAGGGUGAGAGGAUCAUCCCCCGUCAAAUGUACAUUAUUCAUACACUGUAAUGGCGUAAAAGAACCCUAGACACAUGGACUCCCUUGCUAAUAAGUGCACCUUCAAAGCGAUAGUCAUUAUUUAGCAUUUAUCGGAAGAGGCUGGCCCCAGCUCUGGUGAAGGGCAGAGAAGGUGUGGGUGGCCUCACGUGUUCUCAAUGUCACAAAAUGAUAGCAUUAAACAGACCCACUCCCUCAUGGAAGGCAAUUUGACGACCUUCUAUUGAUAUUGCAACAUGUGUCUCUGGCAGCAGAUCUCAAUCCUUAUGUAAGGGAUAUGGGAAGACUUCCUCCACUUCAUGUAUAUGCUUUCCCUAAGCAGAUCUGGCAGAUGCAAAUUUAUCCAUAUCUUUUCAUUUCCAUUGAAGUUUUAGUAUCCACAUCCCCUCCUGAAGACAGAAAACUUGUCUUUGUAACCCUUUUUAUUUCAGCUGAUCUAAAUAAUUAGUUCAGAUUUACCCUGACAAAUGGCUUUUACCAUUUUUAGUUUCUUACCCUGUAACAAAAUACUGCCAUCAAGUUUUGAUUAUGAAAAUGGCUGAAGGCAAGGGACCAUAUGAGAGAGCGCAAUCAACAACAUAGUCUUUUUGCCCAACAGAAUUGGACAUUUUUGGCUUAGAGAAUUAAAGCACAAUGACUGUUCCUGAAAAUCAGUACAGUAGUCAUAAUAAAACUUUUUUCUUGGCUGGGCACAGUGUUGCAUGCCUGUAAUCUCAGCACUUUGGGAGGUUGAGGUGGGAGGAUCACUUGAGCCCAGAUCUUGAGACCAGCCUAGGCAACACAGUGAAACCUCGUCUAUGCUAAAAUAAAAAAAAAAAUUAGCCAGGUGUGAUGGUGUGAGUCUGUAGUCCCAGCUACUUGCUUGAGCCCAGGAGAACAAGGCUGCAGGGAGCCAUGAUCAUGCCACUACACUCCAGACUGGAUGACAGAACAAGAUCCUGUCUCAAAACAAAGCAAACAAAACAACUUUUUCUUUUUAAAAUUGAACUACUUAUUAUAACUGCAGACAUUUCUAUACAAUAUUUCUUUUUAAUCUCUUGAAAUUAAAUCCUAUUUUUUAAAGAAUACACAUGAUUAAAUACAAACAAAAAACCCCUCCAAACCCUAUUGGAUUUCCAACCUCAGCUCACAACUGAUACCUUAUACAAAAGUUAACUAAUAUCAGUCUUCAACAGGCCAGGGAUGGUGGCUCAUGCCUGUAAUCCCAGCACUUUGGGAGGCCGAAGGGGGAGGAUCACUUGAGUCCAGAAGGUUGAGACCAGCAUUGGCAACAAAGUGAGACCCUGUCUCUACAGAAAACUAAAAAAUUAGCUGGGCAUGGUGAUGCAUGCCUGUAGUCCCAGCUACUCGGGAGGCUGAGAUGGGAGGAUCAACUGGGCUCAGGAGGUCAUGAUCUUGCAGCCACAACACUCUAGCCUGGGGGACAGAGCGAGACCCCAUCUCUAAAAAAAUAAAAAAAAAUUAAAAAAAAUCUUCAACAUAAAUGUGAAUCUAAAACUAUAACAUUUCAAGAAGGAAUCAUAGGAGAAAAUCUUUGUGACCAUAAGUUAGGUAAAGAUUUCUUAGAUAAGACAACAAAAGGGUGAUCCAUAAGAGAAAAAAAAUUGAUGAACUGGGACUUCAUCAAAAUUAAAAACCUCUGCUCUUCAAAAUGCAAAAGAUAUAAAGAGAACACUGAAAGUACAUCUUCAUCUCUUACUUUUUCUUCCCAGUCCAAUUUCCCUCUCCAGCAUCAACCAAAUACUGUUACCAUUUCUCAAGUUCCCUCCUAAGCCAGCCCAUACAUAAUAAGCAUAUAGAUAUAAGCUGUAUGGUGGUUCUAAUGCUUUUUUACUUAGUUUUUUUUUUUUAAUUCCAUAUUCAAUAGAUUUAUUCGAUUAUUCAGUGUAGUCCUACACUCCCAAAAGCAUUCACUGGUCAUCCAUGUAGCCGAGGCAAAAUUCUUUGCAAGUAAUUAGUUUUGAAGUUUACUUAAGCAAAUAUGGAAACAAAACAUUAAAAUUUUUAAUUCGUUUGCCUUGGCUAAAACAAACAAAAAAUAUUUCCUAAGUUAUCAGCUCACUGUGUAUUAUUUAGGCCAUACUUCAUAUUUUAGCUAUGUCAGCUGUGGUAUCCUGGGGGAAAGAUGUUGUCAUGUGGGGCCUCACACCAAAAUAUUAUUUGAAGUACAUAGAAACCAGCUUCUUCAAUUUCUUCCAUUUCUUUGGGCAUUGUGUUUUCAAAUAAUGAAAUUCUCUCUUAAAGAAAAAUGAGGAUCUCUUUAGUCACGUUGAGGACUAGAGGAAGUAUUUUCCUCAGGCUGAAUUUUUUGUUUUUUGAGACUCUGUCAUCCCAGACUGGAGUGCAGUGGCACGAUCUCAGCUCACUGCAACCUCCGCCUCCUGGGUUCAAGUGAUUCUUGUGCCUCAGCCUCCCAAAUAACCGGGAUUACAGACGUGCACCACCAGGCACAGAUAAUUUUUGUAUUUUAGUAGAGACAGGGUUUCACCAUGUUGGCCAGGCUGGCCUCAAACUCCUGACUUCAAGUGAUCUGCCCACCUCGGCCUCCCAGAGUGCAGGAUUACAGGCAGUAGCCACUGCGCCUGGCUCUCAGGCUGAAUUAAAAUCACCUUUCACACUCCACAGCACAACUUACUUCCCAGAUGACUCACUCAACUAUUGGAGUGAGCAAGAAGAGUACUCCCAUCUCUCUUUUACUAUCUUGUUUUAUUUACUUCACAGCAUUUAUUACUGAAAUGACUACACUGAUGUAUUUCUUUUUAGACUUUCUGCCUCUGCCCCGACUCCAGACCUGGGAGUCCGAGGGGGCUUCUGUCCAGCUGUGCAUGGCUGUGGUUGAGGGUCUGGUGUCAACAGAUCCUUCUCCACCAUAUCAACUCCAUUUCUACCACUGGGAUUGGCCCUUAUUACUGUUACCUGGUUUGUACACUCAGCAGCAGUUUUCAGACGCGAAAAGAUAAGAGAUGAGCAUUUAGAGUAAUUAUCAUCAAUUCUGCAGCACUGUUUCGGGUGUAAAGGUUGUGUGUUCACCCGAUUUCACAUCCUCCAGACCUGCACUGUCCCACUAUGGUAGCCAUUAGCCACAUGUAGCUAUUAAGUGCUUGAACAGUGGUUAGUCAGAAUUGAGACGUGUUGUAAGUGUCAAGUACACAGCAGAUUUAAAAAAUUUAGUUUAAAAAGAUAUUGGAAAAUGAUCUUAUGACAAUUUUUAUAUUAUUUACAUGUUAAAAUAAUAUUUUGAAUAUAUUGGGUUAAACAACAUGUACUAUUAAAAUUAAUUUCUUUUUCCUUUUUAAUGUGACUACUAGAAAACAAACUGCAUAUGUGGUCUUCAUUGUGGUGGUUCACAUUCUGUUUCUACUGUACAGUGCUCCUUGAGGCCUAGUUCUAAAAGUUCCCUCACUUCUCACAAGGGUUACUGUCUGUUUGUCCUACUAGAGGUUCGCCAGAUGCUCUACUGAACAGGAAUUAUACAGCAGAGCCUCAGAAUCUAAGGACUUGGUCUCUGAGGGACCGAUAUUUGGGGUAGUGGUGAUAGAUUUGUCCAUGAUAGUGGCAAAAAGUUGUCCUCCAAUUUUUUACAAGUUUCCUAUUUGCUGACUUCCCAUCAAGUAAUAUUAGAAAUGAUUCUAAGCUUGCAUUUCUCAAGCCUUUCCACUCUUCUAAGACAUCCACACAUGGUCAGCAUGUCUGGGGCACCGUCGGUGCUACCCAUUGACAGAUGAGAGCCCUCCAUCUCCAGCAGAGCCUUCUCCUUCAGGCAGUGAGAGAAGACUCCGCUUCCAUAGACAGGAUCAUCCUGUUCAGAUCAACUACAAGGCCACAGUUGUAAAGGAGUCAGUCCUGCCAGCAGCUGUGAGCAUGGAUAACUAUCAGUCAUGGGGAGGAAGCUGUCGCCUCCAAAGAUUUAGGGUAAAAGGCAGAAGAUAGCAGGCUGUGGGGUGGAGAUGAAUUUGACUUUUCUCUCACGUGAAAUGCAGGUAAGCCCCGAGUCAUGUAACAGAGCAAAGCAAAAAUGUUGUAACACGUUGACAAGAGGAAGGAAUGACCAAUUAUAACGCUGAGGUUUUAUGUUUAAAUGCUACAAAUUUUUCUCCAGUUUAUAAAUACAUUUAAAUAAAAGUCUUAAUGCAAAAGUACAAAAAUGAUAGUCUACUGUCUUAAGACGCACCGACUAUUUUUAUAUUUAGAGUAAGGUGAGGGGGAUGGGAGUGAAUCCAGAUUGAAUAGUGCCAGACAAUGGGCAGAACGGGACUCUUAAACACACAUUAUCUUUCUUCCAAGAAACUACUAUUGCUUCCUUCUUAAAGCCCACUCUGGAUUUUUUUUUUUAAUUUUUAUUUUUUUUGAGACUGGGUCUCAUUCUGUUGCCCUGGUUGGAGUGCGGUGGCACUAUCACGGCUCACUGCAGCCUCGACCUCCCAGGCCCAAGUGAUCCUUCCACCUUAGCCUCCCAAGUAGCUGGAACCGCAGGUAUGUGCCACCGUGCCCAGCUAAUUUUUUUACUUUUGUAGAGAUGGGGUCUCCCUGUGUUGCCCAAGCUGGUCUCCAAUUCCUAAGCUCAAGCAAUUCUCCUGAGUUGGCCUCCCAAAGUGCUGGGAUGACAGGCGUGAGCACUCUGGAAAGUUAAUACAAUCUUCUGAACCAAGGUAUUGUUAUUAGUUAUCCAUCUUUUGACCCAAAAACCAGUAUCUCAGAGAAACAUGCCAAAUUAAAGAGAUUACAAUGGAUACUUUCUUCACACUCGAAAUAAAAGAUAGCAUCUUAAUAAAAGUAUUUAUGCUUGAUCAAACUUUAUAAAAACAAGAUGCCGGGAAAAAUAUCUUCCAGCCCAUUUAUGAGUGUAUAACUUAAAGAAAAAAUGACCCCUGAUGUACUAACUUUGUGUGGCUAAAUAUAGUUAGCAGCCCUCAUGCUUCAUAGCCCAUUUUCCCCUGGAAUUCAGCUAAUAUAAAUAAAACAAAUGAAGGGAACCUGGCCCCCCUCCAUGAAAAUUACAUCAUUCUUCCUUAUUAGGAAAACUUCUUCAAAUCUGAAAUUUUGCUCUAAAUAAUCAGAGUUUCUAUUUCUCAAUGAAUAACAAGGCAGGGGGCUGCCCUCAUCAGAAGUGUUGCUGUGUGGGGAGCAAUGUGUGUGACGUACAGGCUCAUUUCAACAGUGAUGCUUCCAACAGUAGUAAUAGUAACACCAGGGAAAGCAUUAAGGUGCAUUUAGGAAAGCGCAUGUCAUUCUCUCCAAAUUUUUGCUUUCUAUAUAUUUUUGGAUAUAUGCCUGUGUUAUGGUAAACAGAAAGAUGAGAAAGCAGAAAUUCUUAGGUUCUUUUGUAAUACUGGUUCUGACCAAAGAUUUUUGUAUCUGAUUGAUCUUGAUUAACAGGAUGAUGCAGUGGUUAAAAAUCUAAGGCAGAUCUGCCACUGCUCCCUGAAACACACUUGAGUUUCCUCUUAAGUGAUGUCUAAUUUGUUAGACAACUUUAGGUUAUCUAUUUUUGCUCUCAGCCGUCAGCAUAUUAACACGCUAGCUGAUCUAGGCUUCUUGGUAUGAAAGGUAAGAUUUAUGAAGUUAAUGUGUACACGUAAAAUAAAAAUCAAUUAAAACAAAUGUCUUCUUUAAACAUUACCUUUCCAUGGAUUUAAACAGGGCUGCUUAUCAGUUUGCUGAUUCUACCUGGUGUUUCACCUUUCUUUCAUCUUGACGUAAGGACUAUUCUCAUGAAAAUUAAGUAAAAAAGAGUUGGAAAAAACACUUCUAAAUGUGAAGUCUACAAUGGGGUUCAUGAAGCUAGUACCAUAUCCUAAAACAAAUAAUUUAUAAAUAAAUCCUGAGAUGUAAUGGAGCAUUAGGGUAAGCAAACAAUGAAGUCGUCUUACAGAGCGCUGCCUCUGGCAGGCAGCAUACACCAGCCCACUCACCGAGUUCUCAUUUUCCACUUUGGCUAGCUAACAAAAUCAGAGUAGUCAAUCACACUGUUCAUGAAAACAUGGAGGGCGAGGAAUGGCCAUGAGAGAAGGGUUGUCGAGAGAAGGAAGACUGGUCUAGAAAAUACGAGGAUGGUUCCAACAGUUAUAAGUUUAUACUUCUAAAUCUCUUCAUUUCUGAACUUUUCUAACAUUUAUGUUUUCAAAAGAAAGAAAAACAAAUAUGCCUUGUGCUUUGUGCUCAGUUAAUUGGACUGUUGGAUGGUCCUCACUGUUUCCCAUAAAGGGCCCCUGCACUGGCAAAUUGGGAAAGCAUUUCUAUUCAAGGACUCCAAGAACUUCCCAGUUCCAAAGGACCCUUCCAUCCUCUAGGAGUUUUAUUCAUAUACUUCUUAACUGGUUUAGGAAUGAAAGGUAAUGCUGUACUUCUUAGCCAUGUAGGCUCUGGAGUUAGACUGCCUGUGUUUAAAUUUUAGACUCUAUUAUUUACUGGCUGAGUUUCUUUGAUCACUUAAUUUUUCUGAACCUGCUUCUUCAUCUUUAAAAUGGGGGUCAUAUAUUUCUCAAAGGAAGAUAUAAAAGCAGCUGACAAACAUGAAAAAAUGCUCAGCAUCACUAAUCAUCAGAGAAAUGCAAACCAAAACCACGAUGAGAUACCAUCUCACACCAGUCAGAAUGGCUAUUACUACAACGUCAAAACAACAGCUGCUGGCCAGGAUGUGGAGAAAAGGGAAUGCUUAUACAUUGUUGGUGGGAAUGUAAAUUAGGCCACUGUGGAAAGCAGUUUGGAAAUUUCUCAAAGUUCUAAAAAUAGAACUACCAUUAGACUCAGCAAUCCCAGUAUUGGGUAUAUACCUAAAGGAAAAUAAAUCAUUCUACCAAAAAACCCCACAUGGUACAUGUACACUUGCUCCUCAUAGCACUGUUCACAACAGCAAAGACGUGGAACCAACCUAGAUGCCAUCAAUGGUGGAUUGGAUAAAGACAAUGUGGUACAUACACACCAUGGAAUACUAUACAGCUACAACAAAGAGCAAAAUCAUGUCCUUUGUAGCAACAUGGAUGCAGCUCGAGGCCAUUAUCCUAAACAAAUUAAUGCAGGAACAGAAAACCAAAUACCUCCUGAUAAGUGGGAGCUAAACACUGUGUACACACAAACAUGAAGAUGGGAACGACAGACACUGGGUACUCCAAAAGUGGGGAGAGAAGGAGGUGGGGAGGGGCUGAAAAACAUCCUCUUGGGUACUGUGUGCACCACCUGGGUGAGAGGAUCAAUGGAAACCCAAACCUUAGCAUCAUGAAUAUACCCUUGUAACAAACCUGCCCAUGUAACCAGUGAAUCUAAAAUAAAUAAAAUGGGGGUCAUGAUAGCACUUCCCUCCUAGACUGUGAAGAUGAAAUGUGGUAGUACAUGUGAAGUAUUUUGAGCAAUGUUCAAGCAUGCCUUUGAUAAAUGUGAGCUAUUAGUAUUCAGGACGGUCAUGUAAAUAAUUCAGUGUCCAAAUGUGGGCCCUUUAAUCUGGGACAAAGGCUGAACUAUAUAGAACUCUAGACAACUGGCAGAUUGACUGUCCUGGGGAAAAGGGAACACGUAGCCAUCCCAUUCAUAUUACAUAAUGUCAAGGUCACACACUGCACAGACAGACUGACUUACCAAAAUUAACAAAAUUUGUGUAUCACUGGGUACUAGAGUGUAUAAGAGAUCAGAUGGAAUAAGAAAGCCUUAAUUAAAAAAUCAUGAAUUAUAAUUUAAAGCAUUUAAGAUAGACGUACCACUUACAUGUUAAUCACUCAUUUUGCUGAACUUAGAACAUUCCUUUUCAGGCUGGGCGAGGUGGCUCACACCUGUAAUCCCAGCACUCUGGGAGGCCGAGGCGGGUGGAUCACGAGGUCAAGAGAUCGAGACCAUCCUGGUCAACAUGGUGAAACCUUGUCUCUACUAAAAAUACAAAAAUUAGCUGGGCGUGAUGGCAUGUGCCUGUAAUCCCAGCUACUUUGGAGGCUGAGGCAGGAGAAUCGCUUGAACCCGGGAGGCGGAGCUUGCAGUGAGCCAAGAUCGCGCCACUGCACUCCAGCCUGGCAACAGAGUGAGACUCCGUCUCAAAAAAAAAAAAAAAAAAAAGAACAUUCCUUCUCAGCAUUAUCCCAAAUAUAUUGUAAAGUUUAGUUUAAAUUAUUUUUACAGUGUUUUCAUCCUUCUUCAUGGCCUCCUUCCCACAAAUAUCAGGAAAAUGGGAACUGAUGAGGAGAGUAACAUUAAAUAAAAAGGGAAGUACAAGUAAUUUUAUUGUUGUGCUCAGCACAGACGGACCCAAUUACAGUCCUACAAGUACCUGGGUUGCUUCCCUCCUGACCUGGAGAACAGUCCCCUGGUACACUGUCAUUGUGGAAACAGAGAAAACACAUCUGUUAAAAAUGAGCUUUAGUGGAAAAAAUUCAGCUGGCAUUCUCUUUUCCUCUCUGUCGUCCUUUUUUAAUAGCACUCUUAUGUAAGGUCGUUACUAUAUAUAGUAGAGAACAGGGAGCUGUGAUUUGACCUGUACAGAGGCAGUCAGAUAUGGGCCAUUUCCUACCUUGGUGGGCCCAAAGGCAGCUGAACCUGCUGGACAGCAGGAGCGGCGGCACCUGGAACCCUUGCUCUUUGAGACCUCAGCACAGCUGCACGGCUGUUCUCUUCUUGCAUCUUCAGCUUCCCACCUACAAAAUCGGCACAGGGCCUACUUCUGAUCUAACUCAUUGGGGAUGCCUGUGGAACCUCAGAGAACAUCUGGGAAACAUUUUUUUGGCUUUGUCAAUACGUAUUUUUCCUCUGUAUAUCCAUCCAAGAUUUAUGCAAGAGCUAGAAUUGUAACAUUCCAGUCUAAGAAACCUAGACCGUCCUACCAUCCCUGACCAGCUUGUCCAAGCAAGAUAACUGCUUGUUUAUUGUCUUUUUCUCCCACUACCAGUCUUUCUCAAGAGCAGAGUUCACAUCUAUUCUGUUCAACAAUGUAUUAUCUUAGAUACAGCAUACCAUCCAUGAAUGAAUGAAUGAAUGAAUGAAUGAAUGACUCCAUGAGUAAACAGAGGCAGUAGUAGCAAACAUUUACUGAACACUUACCAGGAGACUCUAGACAAAUUUAAUCUUUCGUACCUCUGUUUUCUCAUCUAUGUAAUGGGGUAAUAAUAGAACCCACAGAGUAGGGCUGUUGCAGAGAUUAAAAGAGAAUAGUGCUUAGUUGUUACUGGAAUCCUCUCUUCCUCUUUAGUCAGUGGCACCAUCCCUGAUCCUGUUUCACAAGUCAGAACCGCAGAAGUCAGAGCUGCCUGUCUCCAUCCGUCUCAUCUCAACCAUCAUGAGUCCUGCCUUUCCCUCUCCUACACUUCUCCCACACGCUGUUCUCUUCCAUGCAGCCAGUUUCAAAAACCACAUGGAAUCCUGUGACUCUUGACUUCCCUGUCCCCAGUGACUUUCGCUUGCUCUUGGGAUCAACUCCAAAUUCCUUCACCUGGCCCACCAGGCCUGGUCGCCCCCUGUAGCCUCUUCUUUUCUCCCUCCCACCCCCAUUCUCAGAGUCUCAGCCCUUCCCUUCAAUGUGCGAUUCCUCCUGACUGCACACCUGUCUCUGUCUCCCAUUUAGCCUUCAGAUGUCAGGUCAAACAUCACUUCCUGAGGCUCUUUCCUCAGGCCUCCAAACCACACGAGGUCUUUCAGUUUCCUGCCCUCAGAGGUUGUGGCACAUUUUUUUCGCAGCAUCUGCCACACCAGCACUCCUUACAUGUCUUUUAUCUGGUCUCUAAUAAUUCCACGCACCCAGGCCCUUGAGGGUCUUUUCUAGCUUUGGUAAAAUGCGAGCUGGGAGGGAGGAUGCUGACAGAGGAGUGAGUAAAGGCUGGUCUAGAGGGCAUCUGAGAGCUUCUGUGGACUUCUUCUAGAAGGACCAUUGAUCAUCUGUAAAACAACCUGUAUUUGACUUUUAAGGCCAAAAUUUCUAAGGAAAAAAAUGUCUGUACACACAUGGGAAAAGCUAGUAAUUAUGCUGGCUAAAAGAAAAAGUUACUCUGUGAGAUGCUCAUAUAUGAAGUCCUCUCAGAUGUUGCUAUCUCACUUCUCAUUUUCCUAUCAAUAAUUAGCUAUGUGUGACUUUUCUCCCUUUACACUGCAAUGUGGUUUCUUCUGUUUUUCCUAAAUGGCUAAAAUUAUGAAAACUAAUUUAUUAGUCCUAAAAAGUAAACUUGACAUUUUUUGUAAAGUUUAACAGUAAAUAAAGAGUUAAUAUUACCAAAAACAACUGAGGCAGGGAAAAGGGCAAUUCCAGUGCAAAGUCUACUACCCACUGAUAUCUGUGAUACAUAAAAUAUUCUAAACACAACAUGUAGGUUUCUUGAUAUCCACACCUAGAAAGCAUUAGAGGGAAUUAAGAGAAAUUGUAGCCGAUUAACUCAUCUAAAAGCCCACAAAGCAGAAUAAAUCUAAUUACCAUGGCUUAAGGCAAAUAAUACCUCUUGCAAAAUAACCAAAAAUUCAAGCUUAAAGAGCAACUACACUCUUGUAGGCACUACUAACUUUGUGGAUGGUUCUUUCCUUUUGAGACAGGGUCUCACUCUGUUGCCCAGGCUGGAGUGUGCAGUGGCAUAGUCACGGCUCACUGCAGCCUUGACUUCCUGGGCUCAAGCAAUCCUCCUGCCUCAGCCUCCCGAGUAGCUGGCACUACAGGUGUGAGUUACUGCACCCGGCUAAUUUUUGUAGAGAUAGUCUAGCUAUGUUGCCCAGGCUUGUGUUUUUGUUUGUUUCUUUUCUUUUCUUUUCAUUCUACCUUCUUUCCCAGCUCUCUCAAUGAAUUUAACAAAUACUGAUUGAGCUUUUACUACAUGUUGGGUGCCAGAAAUCUAGUAGUGAUCAAAACAGACACAGCACUUGCCUUCAUGAAGCCACAUGAAGCCAGCAAGUACAGUGUGGCCUAAAACAGAAGAAUGUUUAACUGCAUGAAGGCAGGGUGCUUUGUAUUGCUGGGCUUGGUGUAUAUUUCUUUGCUAUCUAGUUUAAUAUAUUGAGCUUUACAUCUGUGCCAGCCUUGCAUGUCCAUAUACCUUUGGCAGGCAUUUCUAGUCAGGUGGCAUGGGGCAAGGGGUGUGCUACGUUUUAAGUCCCUCAUUUCUCCAGCCUGUCCAGGUAGUGUCUACGUCUCCAACUCACUCAGGAAGGCAGGAGACUUCCAGAUUCACUCCACUGGUAUCAAGAGUUAGGUUCUGGUGAGAGAGCUGGCAGAAGCUUCAGAGGACCUUGCGUCUUAGCCUCCUCUUUUUUUCCUGUCCUCAACAGCAAGUUGUUGCCUCUAAUUUUCAGAAAAUCGCAGCACAUUUCCAGGAGACCUGAAAUGCGGUGGACUGCUUCAACAUUAGAUUAUUUUGGCAGACAGGGAUAGUAUUUAGUGUAACGUCACCUAUAUGCUUAUCAAAUAGGGGUAAGGGAGUCAUAAUUAUUUUAAUGUCUAAUAUUAACGGUUCUUUAAUAAAUUACUUAUUAAAGUUCCAAGGUAUAAGUCUUUUAAUAGAAACAGGUUUCAGCCAGGCGUGGGGCUUAUGCCUGUAAUCCCAGCACUUUGGGAGGCCAAGGAGGGUGGAUCACUUGAGGUCAGGAGUUCGAGACCAGCCUGGCCAGCAUGGUGAAACCCCGUCUCUAUUAAAAAUACAAAAAUUAGCUGGGCGAGGUGGUGCUCGCCUGUAGUCCCAACUACUAGGGAGGCCGAAGCAUGAGAAUUGCUUGAACCCGGGAGGCAGAGGUUGCAGUGAGCCGAGAUUGCGCCAUUGCACUCCAGCCUGGGUGAAACAGCCAGACUCCGUCUCAAAAACAAAACAAAACAAAAAACAGGUUUGGAAUGAAUGCAAAAAAUCUACGAGAGACUGGCCAGUUGUACUAUUAAGUUAUCAAACAGUUUUAUCCUGCCUCUCUCUUCCAUUUUAUAUAUUUAAGUCACUUUUAAUUUAUGGGGGUAUGGAGGAGAGACAUAUUCUGGAGAUGGAGAAAAUAAAGGUAAGCCAGACUGUGGGUCCACAGGCUCUGCAGCAGGGAAUAAAUGUUGGUGCAAUUGGCAGGUUAGAGACACAUGGGAGGAAGGGAAGAGGAUGUAAAGAGACAAAGACAAGAAGGGAGACUGUAGGAAGCUGUGUGUGUGCUGCUGGCCUGGGAGACGGCACCCACUGACCUCCUCUGGCCUCUCAGUCACACUUGGGCCAGAUUAAUUCAUUCUGCAAACUUUUCUUGCCUGCCCAUGGAAUGCCAGGUACUGAGCUAGGGUUCGCAGACACAUGCUAAGCAGCAGUAAAAAGAGCUUAUUUUGUAUAAUACUCAGCUACUACUGAGCUAAAACUAGGAGAGCAUAUUAGAAAUGACAGACUUAGGCUGGGCGCGGUGGCUCAUGCCUGUAAUUCCAGCAUUUUGGGAGGCCGAGGCGGGCGGAUCACCUGAGGUCAGGAAUUCAAGACCAGCCUUACCAACAUGGAGAAACCCCGUCUCCACUAAAAAUAAAAAAAUUAGCCAGGUGUGGUGGUGCACGCCUGUAAUCCUAGCUACUCAGGAGGCUGAGGCAGGAGAAUAGCUUGAACCUGGGAGGUGGAGGUGGUGAGCCAAGAUCGCACCAUUGCACUCCAGCCUGGGCAACAAAAGCAAAACUCCAUCUCAAAAAAAAAAAAAAAAAAAAAAAAAAAAGAAAUGACAGACUUACAAAUUAUAUAAGUGAGAAAAGGAGACUGACUUUCCCUACAGUAUACCGCAUUUUUUCCAGGCUUUUCAAACAGGUUUGCAAUGUGAACAAUCGUUAUCUUCUAGAGGACUUUUAUGAAGGAUUUUAGUAGUGCAGGCCUGGACAUACCAUAUUAAAAACAAACCAUUUUAGAGUCAGGGAAAUGUUUCCCUCUUAUCUUUUAAAUUCUUGGUGGGGAGUAGGGGCUGAAGGGGGAGCAUUCAUUCCUUCCAGGAGCCAGGUUGCAGAAGAAAGCACUCUCACACAGGAGCAGGAGGGCUGAGGCCUCGCGAGCUACCCCCACGCUUGGUUCUGGCAGAUCACUUACAUUUCAGGACCUAGGCAGAUGAAGUUUCCUGGCUAUAUGCUAAGACAAAACUUUUCCUGCUUAAAAUCAGAUCUUUCAUUUUUUAGUAUUGAGUAUAAGGGAGGAUUAAAGGAGUUUAUUGCUUUAAAAAUUAAGGAAAUACACUGAAAAACUGGAUAGGAGUUUAUUCAUUGUAUUUUAUGACACCAAAGAUGAGCAAAUGCAUUCGUAAGUAUACAUAAUAAAAUAAAUAUAGCCUGGCAUCUCUUUUAAUGGAGGUAGCUUGGGGGUGAGAAGAGGGAAUGGGGAAGAUAAGCUGGGGGCCAGCUCUGAAUUCUUUAUGAGCCCCCUGAUGCAGCCAGCCACACGUGGUGUGAAUCUCAAUAGUGCCAGUUCUUCUUUCCAAGGGUCAGUGUUUUUUUUUUUUUGCUUUAAAAAUGGGGAUAAUAAUACCUGUAAUGAGAUUUCUUGUAAAGUUUAAGUGAGGUUAUAAAUGUAAAAGUCUAAUGUCAAAUCUGGCUACCAAGAAUUCAAAUUUUCUUUCACUUUCCAUCAAUAAUGAUAAAACGUGAAUAUUAAGCAUGGUUUGGAUUGAAAACCUUCUCAGGGUCUCAAAGUCUAGUCGAGAAUUCAAUUCAGACUUUAAAAAGCAGACAUUCAGUUCUCUCCAGAUUUGUGAAUGAAUGCAUUGUUACUAAAGAAGUUUCAGUGCCAAAAUAUACACUGUCUCUUCCUUUCUCCUUUUUCUUCUGCAGCUAAGUCGGCCAGAGCAUUCUAGAAAUCACCUUAAAAACGCAUCCCUCUUCUCCUACUGGAGUUUAUACAAUGACAAAAAUCUGAUCUGGCUUUUUCAAAAAGCAAACAACAAAACAUCCAAACAACAUAACCCUGAGUCUUUAACAGAAAGCUGGUGCUUGCACCAGGGGCGUGCAGACGUCUGGAACGCAUUACAAUCAGCUCCCUAAGGGGCAGCUUAUCUCUUCCUCUGAUGCUAUCGGUUUGCCAAGGAAAGUUAAAGACAAAAGUCAACUGUUGCACCCAGUUGGAAUGUGAACAUGUGGGAGAACCUGAAAUAUACUAAGACUAAUUUAUGUUCCGAUGGGAGUGGCUCUCAUGGUAAGGACUGAAGCAGUAUAUCCUGCUUUUUUAACGAAUUUUUUAACGAAAAAAAUUCUCACAGCCUGCAGGAAGAGCUACAAAAUAACCCCCUCUCAUCUUUACUGACUGUAGUUAGUACUCUCGUGUUGCAUUUUAGGGAAAGUUCAUUUGUGUCUGCAGUGGACUUCGAAGUUAAUCAUACCACAAAACUGUAGAGAAUGAACAUCUUGAAAUUAUUUCAGAAAUAAGAGCUCCAGGUAGCCUUUGAGAUUGGUAAAGUUUAGAAAUAAAGUAUACUUACAAAGCUGCAUCUUAUGACGUUGCAAAAGACUGAUUUAGGAUCAUUAUUUGGUGUGAAAUACAUUUUGCCAAUGUAAGCCUUUCCUUUCAACUGUUUAAGGCAUAGAAUACUAGUACAUUCUACAUUUAAUGUUUGAAUUCUACCAGUUUUAGAGCUCAGAACUCAAAUUAGCAUCGUUCUAAGUUUGACAAUAACCCUCUUUUUGCUUUUAAUAGUGUCUCCCUUCAUGUACUGAGUGUGCCUACGUUUUCCUCGAAUUGUUUUCUCAUCAGUGGUGGUGUGAGAAGCCUUCUUUUAGGAGAAAAAACACAGAACACCACCAAGUAGAUCUGUGUCUAAGAUGGCCAGUGCAUUCGGCACACUCUCUGGGCUGACAGGCACUGAACAAUGGCUCUUGCUCAAUAGGCCUGGUUUCCAGUCACUGACAACAACGAUCAGUACCUUCAAUCUCUAAAUUACACAAAUUUACAGCUUUGAUUUUUAGUCUUAGAAGCCAUCAAGGACAGGCCCCAGGACAAAACAAAGUGGCUGGCUCCCAUCUGCUGAGUAAGCAGAAGGGACAGUGGAGGAGUUCCUCUCAGUUUGCUUCACUUUCACUUUGCCCAGGGGUGGGGUGGGGUGGGGUGGGGUGGGACGGGGGUAGGGUUGCCGGAGGAGGCUAACUCAGUCCUCAGUCACCACCUGAGGACCACUCUCCAGGAACUUAGCACCCCCUGGGCUCAGUUUUCUUAGAGGUUAAAUGAGUAGAUUAGGCUAAAUUCUGGCUCUAAAAUUGAGUAACUAUUACAGGGAAGUAAAAAAUAAUUCUGAAUAAUACUGAUUGGGAAAUAGAGUGUCAGAAUUAGUUCUACAGCUAAUUAGCUCUCUCUUAAUAUGCCUGGGACUUAGUUUCUUCCUUUUUUUUUCUUUUUUAGAAAAGGAAUAUUCAUUGUGAGAAACUGAAGUAUCAGAAAGUAUAAGAGUAUAACUGGAUUGUUUGUAAUACAAAGGAUAAGUGCUUGAGGUGAUGGAUACCCCAUUUACCCUGAUGUGAUUAUUACGCAUUGCAUGUCCAUAUCCAAAUAGCCCAUAUACACACCUAUGUACCCACAAAAAUUAAAGAUAAAAUAUUAAUUAAAAAAUAAAGUGAAAGUAGUACGAUAAUAAAGUAAAUGUAAAGAAUUUCCCACAUAACCACCAAUCCUCAUACAAUUCCACUCCACAGGGCAAAACACCAAUAAAAUCUUGGUGCUAUCUUUCCAGAACCUUUACUAUACAAAUAUAAAUACUUACAACACCCAUAUGUUUACAUGUUUGGGUUUUUGUUCACAAAAGUUGGAUGAAGCAUAUGCACAUUUUCCCUCAGUGAUCUUGUAUCUUUCAACGAUGUAUCAUGGGUAUCCUUCCAUGUUGGUACAUGAAGGUUUAUUUCAUGCUUUUGAAUGGCCUCAUAGUAUUCCAUAGUAUAAACCAUUCUUUAUUAAUGAUAGACAUGCUCUCUUCAAGUACUCAUUAGUGCAAAUAGUGUAGCAAUAAAGCUGCCUGUACAACUAAUUUGUACUGUAUACUUGUUUUGAGUUUUCUGUGGCAAACAUGUCUAGAAAUGAGAUUAUUGGGUCAAAGGAUAUGUGAAUUUGACAUUUUAAUGGGUAUAAAUUGCCCUCAAAAAAGUUCUUAGGACUUUAUCUGAAAACAGAGGAAAGAAUAGAUGAUCCUUUUCUUUUUUCAACUGAGCUUCCAAUUCAAUUAAGAAGCCUUAAAAGCUGGAAUGGCAGAUGGGAGCAGCUUGCAAUUCCAGUCCCCUUUCAACCAGCCCACUAAUUUCAGGCCUUUUCUUUUUUAGCAAAUAUCAAAAUUCUGUUUUGCUUUGGUCUCAAUAUUGUCAAAUUAACAUUUUUUCAUGGUAAUAUUGCUAACCGUAAGCGAAUUGCUUAUUUCUAGUAGUGGGUAAGAAAUGGAUGUCCUGGUACCCACUGGAUGCCAUGGACAUGUACCCAGUGAUGGUGAUGCUGACACCACCAGUGUGGGUACCAUACCCACACUUUGAGAGCCUCAGCUUUUCAGAAAGCCCUUUAAUUCUUCGGAAGAAGCCUGCAGUUAGAGGACUCCUAUCUUCCUCUGGGUAGACUGUGAUUUACAUGUAUUUGAAUGGUAAUCAGUCACCUUAAUUAACAUAGCUUUUCUGUUACAUCUCACUACCAUGACAUGCAGGCUGUUUAACAGGUCACCUGUAAAGAGGAAACUGCAAAAUUCCACAUGGGCUUCCUGGAGUUCCUCUUACAGACCAUACCUACUCUCCCUCGCAUAACGGGUGUUUAAAAUUCAUUUAAGGCAACUAGAAAUAAUUCCAUGCCGUUCUCAUCUUAUAAAAGGAACUCUUUGUUGAUCAGAUGUUAUUAGUGUUGAAAUUGAUUCCUUAUGUAUUAUUUAAGGUCUUAGGUUUACAAUAAUCACCAAGUACCUAUAGCUGCUUAAAUUACCCAUAUCAAACGGACAUAUUUAACUUUCAGUUGUCCACGUUAUAAAAGGAAACAUGAGAAAACUUGAGACUUCCCCUUGACUGUAUGUAGUGGAUCUAUAUAGUACUUCCAAUCUAUUUUCUGUUCUAGAUCUUUUAUGUAAGAAUGAAAAUAGUAAAGCGUGCAGUGGGCUUAGGGUUGAGCAAAGGGACAAGUCAAUAUUUGUACAUGCAUGGUUGAAUGCAUAUUAGAGAAGAGGACUUGGUAUUGAAAUGACAUUCAGUUAAGGGACAGAAGAGUAGCAAAAAGAGGUAUCCUAGAACAGCUACUUGCCAUCUCAGAUUAUUGCAAGAGGAAGCCUCACUGAUUGAGACCACAUUAAUUUGAAAUCUGUGAUACCUCUGAGAUUUUCACUAACAACUAAAAAGGGGGCUUGUCAAAUAAAUCAGUAGUAUAACAAUUGGCAAAAGUGCUGCUUAAGACAAACGACUUUCAAGCCCUUGGGAAGCAUUCAUUACAUUACUAUUUAAAACCGUGGCUUUACUUCCCACUGGUACUUUCUUAGUCUUGACUAGCUGAGUUCUUUGUAUGUAUAAGUCUUCCUUUUUACAAGAGGUUUUAUGAUUUAGGAAUCUCUUAAACUCUAACAACCUGUCUCGUGAGUACAGUUGUCCCUCGGUAUUUGAGGGGGACUGGUUCCAGGAACCCUUCGGAUACCAAAAUCCACACAUGCUCAAGUCCCUGAUAAAAAAAUGUCCUAGCAUUUGCACAUCACCUACAUACAUCCUCCUGUAUAUUUUAAAUCAUCUCUAGAUUACUUAUAAUACCUAAUGUAAAGGCUAUAUAAAUAGCUGUCAUGCUAUAUUGCUUUUUUUCUUGUAUUAUUUCUAUUGUUGUAUUACUGUUUUUGUUUUGUUUUUCCAAAUAUUUUUGAUCUGUGGUUGGUUAAAUCCAUGAAUGUGGAACCCAGGGAUCCAGAGGGCCAACUAUUAUCUAAGACAGAUGAUGCUAUUGGAAAAGAAGAAAGGUGUUAGUAAGGGUCCUAAAAUUCCUUAAAGGACCUAGAACAAUUUCUCCAAUGAUAUAGACAGGUAGGAAAUAUUUUGUUCGAUUUCUGACCGUAUCCCUUGAUAGAAAGCACAUUUUCAUGUUUUCCAUGGCACUUUGGGUGUGGAAAGCAAGGCCUUCCACAGCUGGUAAAGCCUCCCUCACCUCCUCUGCUCCGGUGCCUCUCUAGCCACACCAGUCACCUGCCAUCCUCCGGACACACAGCCCUCCCCCCUCCAGCUUCUCUACCCAGCUUCAGCCUUCUCCCAAACUCUCCACUCUCAGCUCUUGGUUCUCUCCUGAAGCUUCUCCUUACUCCCCCAGGCAGAGCUGGUCAGUCCCUCCUCAGAGGACACUGAAUCUGUUUCACCCACAGAACUAAUCAAUUCAUUCUGCAUCUGGGCCCCUCCCUUCCGAGCCUAACCCAUGAUGGCCUGGUCAAUGUCCUACUUAGUCGGGAAUGCUGAGCACAAAACAAACUCAGUACAUGUUUGCUGAAUAAAUGAUACUGGAUGUGUCUGCUAGCUUUUUGAAGCAUUUGGAAAGACUUUCAAGCACGUUAAUAACUUUUUAAUAUUUGGAGUUCACCCUUUAUUAGGAAGUUGGCAGGGAAGAUACGCUGUGGGAUGCCAGAGUCCAAUCUCCUGUUGCACAACUUUUUUUUCCACCUCAUAUAUUCUAAUAAAUCUCAGAUAAAAUUAGAAUACCACAGAAAUCACAGGGUCUUGCGCUGAUGGCACAGUUUUUGACGAGCGACUGGGACUUGGAGAGAGAAAAGUUCAGUGUUAGAAAAGCUAUGAGCUGCUCAACCAUUCUGAAAUCCACAAAUUCUUGAAAUUCUCAAGGCUUGUGGGGUUCCCCACUUCUCUCUUCUGUGUGCGUAUAUGUGUAUUAACAAGAAUAAACAAUGAUCUCACAGGA
Homo sapiens (human) is the source of this 32848-nucleotide long non-coding RNA. RefSeq lists it as uncharacterized. The record is from RefSeq and is a predicted model, not a curated record. The transcript has 2 exons. NCBI's taxonomy places the organism in Eukaryota, Metazoa, Chordata, Mammalia, Primates, Hominidae.